This 64-nucleotide transfer RNA is filed under the name Hemidactylium scutatum (four-toed salamander). Its description in RNAcentral is "tRNA-Cys". The record is from RNAcentral. Lineage: Eukaryota; Metazoa; Chordata; Amphibia; Caudata; Plethodontidae.
AGUCCCGUGGUGUCCGGCACCUAAAAUUGCAAAUUUUAAAGCGCAGAUGAAUCUGCCGGGGCUU